AAGACUGCAUAGACUGGGAAGGGAAGUCGGUGCAGCACGGGCUGCUUUACGUACCUGGCCCUGAGUGUGUUCGCUCUGCGUGUGCUACCACUCAGAACCGAUGUGGUGCAAGGCAAUAUACUGCGACCCGCCUUAUUUUUGCAAAAACUUCCGCGUGGGUGAGCGAUGCUGUGAGUUCGAGUGCCUAGACCCUCCCGGAGAGGACACGAGGUACCGCGAGAGGCAACGGCUUCGGGCCCUGAUCUUAUCAGGCAACUCCUCCGCGCCACAUCAUGGACCUUCCAUGGAGUUGAAGGCCGGAAUAUCAUUACUAGCUGUUGCAGUCGCCAGAUUUGUAUGAAAAUAAGUUAAGGAAAAGGGUGUUGAAAAAAUGUCAAAACAAAUAAGGAUUUGAAAACGUAUGGAAUAACCAAUGUUAUGAAAUUAUCUUAUGAAAAAUACGGCAAAAAUCAUAUGACGUAUACAAACUACUUUGAACUUUGUGGAUUAAUUUUGUCGCAAAAUGCACUGGAAGAGAAAUUGCAACUGUGCCAACACUCGUCGGUGGGUUCUGUAUAUGAUAUCUAGACACUCGAAACUUUGCCUUCACUGUAGUUCAUGUUAUGAAUUUCAACUGCCUUACUACUAACUAUAACUACCAUUGUUAUUUUUGUUUCGUAAUUGGCAACAUUUUGUUCGAAAUGUUCACCGAACGUUAUUAAGUUUAUAAAUACGCGAAUGGCUGAGGUGUAUAAAAUGUUUGAACUCUAAUCUAAUUAGGAAAUAUACCAUUGGCCAAUAAGCUUAAAAUAUUUUACUGUUUUAAACUGAGUAAACUUCUAUUUUGAUAUUGUACUUUGAUUUAAUGAGUCCUGCUCCAUUUUAACAAUAAAUCUAGUUAGGACUAGAAACAUAUCAGUUGGAAGUCAGUGAGGUCUGGUCACAUUCGUAUAUCCGCCGAUUUGUAGAUGCAGGUCCCCUCUUAAAUUAAGGGGAGAUUUGGGCCACGGUCACCUAUGACGAUACAAUAUAGCUCGGGUUGUUGCUCCCAGCUAAUUGGUUCGGAAUCUCCUGUUCUACCUAAGCGAAGUUUAUUGUGACGUCCUAACUUACGACCUUUAUCUCUAGGGCAUUUAAAAAAACUGGUGCAGCUACCACUGAACAUAGGCAGGCAGAUGUUUUAUUAAGGAAACUUAAGUUUUUUAAUAGGCGAUUACUAGAAAAUUUUAUAAACAAAAAUGAAAUUACCAACUAAAUAUUAAAAGCCGUUGCCAUAUCGUGUAAUUUAUUUUUAAUUAAAAAUAGCUGCUGUCAACUUUGCUCCUUAAAGCCAUAACAAAAAAAAAUAAUGAAAUCUAGUUCGCGCGGUCGUGAACCCCGCCAUGAUGAAUAAACCAUAGACACGCAACUCUGUUUUACGAUACACCAAAAAGUUAUUAAGCAUAAAAAUCGUUAAUUGGUCCCAUAUCGGUACAUGUAAUUAAGUCAAAGAAUAUGAUUGAAAAAAUACAUAGUUAAAUGUUUGCACGCAUGGUUUUGAAGGACAAUUUGCCAAGGUGAAGCCAUUGCUCAGUAAAAUUAUAUUUACUCAUUUUGCAUGUUAAUGGGUUUCGUAUUCGCUCGAUAAAUUCCAAUGCUACAAGGUCAACAUAAUCUGAGACUUCACAACGUCGUAUUUUUUCCGUGAACUACAAGAAUUUCAGAAAAUUGUCUUACUUUUCUAAACUGACAAUCCCAAAACUGCCUUAGAAGACAAGCAGUUGUGACGGAUUUUUCACCUAUGAUCACGUUAUCCAGUUUGGGUAGCAUAACCUCAAGUACCAAUUUACGAAAUUCUAAAUGUGUACACAAUGGUCCCGAAAGAUGACUUGCUGAAACAUGCCCUAGUUAUGCUUGCGUUGGGUAGCGGUUGCUAUCGAUACAGGGUUGAGGUCCACCAGUUUGCAAAGGGUCCCUGAAUUACAAAACACAUGAGUAUCGAUGUCCAAAUUAUUUACAAUUUUAACGUCAGCAACGCUCCCACAAUACCCAUUAUUCUGACAAAA
Manduca sexta (tobacco hornworm) is the source of this 2024-nucleotide long non-coding RNA. RefSeq lists it as uncharacterized. The record is from RefSeq and is a predicted model, not a curated record. Lineage: Eukaryota; Metazoa; Arthropoda; Insecta; Lepidoptera; Sphingidae. The transcript has 2 exons.